AGGUGGUAAAUCCUGGCCAAGGCUCCUCGAGCCAGGCCGGCUGGCAGUGCUGCAUCGUGCUGAAGGCGCUGAGGUUGCAGCGGAUGCAUUCCGGGCCAGUGAUAUGAUGUGGACAGGAAAAGUCUUUUGUUCUGGGAAAAUGGAGGACUGAAACCUCUUCAUGUCUUUUUCCCAGGCCCUGAUUUAGGAAGACCAAAACAGGGACUUCUACAGUAGCAGCUUAAUCAGCAGAUGCUGGGUGGUCGCCUCUGCACAUGGCCUGGGGGGCGGGGCGCCUUACCGCGUCACACUGGGUGGAUGGGCCUGUGUGUGGCCUCUCUCCAGCUGUGGCUGACAGUACUCACUCAGCCCAGGCUUCCAGGCCCUCCUGGGCCCUCCUAUCCACUGAAGGAAAUGGGAGAUGAGUGGGUAAUGGAAAAGCCUUUGGAGUCAGAUGUAAAUCCAUGACUUGACCACUUAUUGCUGUGAGACCCUGGACAGCUGGAUAUAGAGUUCUUGUUCUAGCAUCCGCCCUGGGAAUCCCCGGAACUGGGCCUCUUACCGACACCAUUGCCUGUAAUCCACAAACCUAGGAGCACAUGGUUAAAGCAUGAGAUGUGAAACCAGGAAGAACCAGGUCUGAACCUUAGCUCCACCAGUGGUAGCUUCAAACCUUGGUCCUUUCUGAGCCUGCUUCUUCAACCGUAAGGGAACGCUACACUUCCUUAGAAAUUAAGAGUGUGUGCUACACUGCUUUACCAGAGCAAGGCCAAAAGCAGCUUCAAUUAUGGUACAACUGUGUGAAGACACAAUGCAAAACCACUCAAGAAUGCUCACUCAAAUGGAUUUUUACCAUGCGUCUACAAUGUGGAAGCAAGUCCUGAGUGAAUAUGCAACCCUGCUCCACCUAUGGGGAAGUGGGACCAGAACCAGAAACAUCAGCACACAGGGACACAGCCCUGGAAACACAACCUCUGCUUUCAAAGCAGAUUGGCCACUAAGAGUUUUUAUUACCUAUUUUCUUUGCCAUAUUGUAGUUCCCAAUUCUCAAAAAUAAAAAUGUUAAGAGAAAUAUGAAAGACGGCUAAAAAGAGAGAAGAAACAAUGAAAAAGGAGAUGGCUCAUGCCUGUAAUCCCUUUGGGAGGCCGAGGCGGGUGGAUCACGAGGUCAGGAGAUCAAGACCAUCAUGGCUAACAGGAUGAAACCCCGUCUCUACUAAAAAUACAAAAAAUUAGCCGAGCAUGGUGGCAGGAGCCUGUAGUCCCAGCUAACUGGGAGGCUGAGGCAGGAGAAUGGUGUGAACCCAGGAGGCGGAACUUGCAGUGAGUGGAGAUCGCACCACUGCACUCCAACCUGGGCGACAGAGCAAGACUCCGUCUCAAAAAGAAAAAGAAAAAGAAAAAGAAAAAGGACAGAAGGGCAAAAAAGAAACAGGUACAGGGGACAUGGAGAGGUGGUCAGGGACACGGAUAUGGGCACAAGAAAGAGGAGGGAGAGAGAGAGGAGGAAGUUCUUGGCACAGAACUAGUCCUUCUCUACCCUCGAUUUAUUCUCAAGAAAUAAGAAAGUACGUUUUGUUUUGAUAGUCACUUAAUAGCAACAUGAACUGGCAGGUAGGAGAGUGGAGUCAGUGGAAACAGCUGCCAAAGCAGGGGUCAUGGAGAAGAACCAUAGGCAGGCAACACACACACACUGUGUGUGCUCCGCAACAAAGGUGCCAUUAGUCUCAAAGCAUAGUGGAUCAGUGAGUUGGGCUUAUGAAUGUUCCCAAGUCUUUUCCACUUCUGACCACAUUUUGAGUAUGUGUUAAUCAAAUUCAUCUCCUAAAUAUUUAGUAUAAGGCUUUAUGUAAUGAGUUCUCAAAUGCAUGUUGCUGAGCCACUGACAGCAGGAAACAAGCUACCUCCCACCAGGAAACCACUAACUAGUUUAUAUGCCUGUAACACAUAUCACUGUAAUUCUGGGUCCUAACAAAAACCUUUUUCAUAAAAACGGGUACCAGUCAGGAAGACCCAAAUGCAUAUUAGGGAAGUAAUUAUCUAUUACUCUCUAGGAUACUGAUAAAGGAAGGGACUUCCAUGUCAAUUUCUAAAUAUUCAAGAGGCCUUGAAUAUCCCAAGGUGCCUGUUAGGGUCAUUAUUUUGAAACUAAAAGCAGACCUGGCCUCUUCUGAUUAAGAAAGCACACACACACACACUUUUCACUCUGACUGUUGACAAUUCAAGCCCAUGCACAGUACAUGCUUCCUUGGGAAUACCUCUCGUGUAUAUACUCUGGUAGGGCCAGGCCUAUAGGGGCAUCCUGUUGCCUUCAAUGCUGAACUUGACAGCACGAUGCACUUUGCUGAGUCGUUUCUGUUCUGCAAAUCGCCUCUUAUGCUUUUCCAAUCGGCUUAGGCCCUUUUUAAGAAUACCAGGCUAGAAGUAGUAGUUUGAUUGGAGAAUAAAAA
RNAcentral lists this long non-coding RNA (2429 nucleotides) under Homo sapiens (human). Its description in RNAcentral is "PREDICTED lncRNA (TCONS_00151084)". The record is from RNAcentral. Lineage: Eukaryota; Metazoa; Chordata; Mammalia; Primates; Hominidae.